GUACAAGUAAAAAUCCACUGGAGGCUCAAAAUAAUCAACCCAAAUGAACAGCCCCGCCCUAAAAAGUAAAAUCCAUGAAUACAGUAGCAGAAUCAUCUUCUUCCUUAACUUAGCACCGCCAAGUAUUCUUCAACAAGUUAGACCAUCGAAAGGGAGGGAAAGAAAGGAAGUUAGCUAUAAAGAAACUCAGCCUGAAUAAGUAGACCACCGAAAAACACCACCAUAAGACGCAUAACCCCAACUGGCAUCCGAGCCUCCAAAAACCAAGGAUCUCCCGACGACCACCUUCACAAGAGGAUGACACAAGUAGAGCUCGCCUUAUCAUUUGUUUAGAUUGAGGGAUUAUGGUGACAAG
This 355-nucleotide unclassified non-coding RNA is filed under the name Hevea brasiliensis (rubber tree). Lineage: Eukaryota; Viridiplantae; Streptophyta; Magnoliopsida; Malpighiales; Euphorbiaceae. The record is from RNAcentral.